UGCCAGCCGCCGCGGUAAUACGGAGGGGGUUAGCGUUGUUCGGAAUUACUGGGCGUAAAGCGUACGUAGGCUGAUUUGUAAGUUGGAUGUGAAAUCCCAGAGCUUAACUCUGGAACUGCAUCCAAAACUACAUUUCUUGAGUUUGGUAGAGGAGAGUGGAAUUCCUAGUGUAGAGGUGAAAUUCGUAGAUAUUAGGAGGAACACCAGUGGCGAAGGCGACUCUCUGGGCCAAUACUGACGCUGAGGUUCGAAAGCGUGGGUAGCGAACAGGAUUAGAAA
This 279-nucleotide ribosomal RNA is filed under the name uncultured bacterium. RNAcentral's name for it is "partial 16S ribosomal RNA". It matches the Rfam family "Bacterial small subunit ribosomal RNA", at positions 506 to 784 of the family's 1533-position model. The record is from RNAcentral.